AAUAUGAAUAAAAAUCCCCUACUAAAAAAUAAGUUUUACCUUUGAAGACGCUAAAAUCUGAAUGGAGAUAUUAUAGUAAUCUCAUAGAACGAAGGGAAUAUUUGAGGCUGUCUAACUUGGAACCACAGCAAGUGCGUGAACACAUGACGUGCGUAACAGGCUAUAGCCAGCCAAAAACAGCCCACCUUUCUUCUAUCUCUUGUCUCUAUAAAUCAACAAACUUGCUGCCCACCCACUUCCUCAAACUUUCCCCUCUUCAAACUAAACCUCUCUUUUAAUUAUAAAUCAACAAAAUUCUACACAAAUCAACUGAAUUCUCUAUAAAUCUUUGCUUUUAUUUAAGGUUUUAGUGCAGGUGGAGAGUUCCAAAGGGAUCGCAUUGAUCUAAUGCACUUACUUUGGAGGUAUGCAGGAAAAUAUAUAGAUUAUGUUAAUUUGUUUAUCGAUUAUUAGAUCAUGCGAUCCCUUAGGAAUUCCCCAUCAAUAGCUCUAAAUUCAUGUCUUCUCAUCUCUUCCAGGGCUUUAUGUUAAACUUUAUUCAGAACCAAGGAUUUAAAAACCGGACCGGACCGGCCGAUCGGACCGGUUGAUCCGUGAACCGAUACUGUAGCCGAGUACUAUUGAAGGCAGAACCGGUAUAAGGUUGAAAUCGGAUUGAACCGCGGUUGAACCUCCGAUUCGAACCUAAACCGCGGUCCAAACCGGUCUAGGCGGUUCCACAAAACCCAACUGCAAAACCUCAAAUUAUCGUGAGAGAGGAACAACAACGUGGUGGACGACGAGUAUCAAAGAUCGAAGGAUGAUGGUCAGGCGACUGUGGUGGUCGUCGGAGAGGCAACGACGACUGCAUAGAUGGAGCUGGAUGUGGCGUCCAGAAACCAACGAUCAUCGCAGGAACACAGACUUGCUCUUCCAGCAGCCACGACCGGAAGCAAACACAAAAAUCAUAUAUUGAAAGAGAAUGCAGUUGUGCUUUUAGAUUUUAUAUUUGAAUUGGGAUAGAAGUUGUAUUGGUUUUCGCUUAUGAUUGCUGGAGAUUGGUAAUAUUCUGUGGGUGUUUGAUUUCAGCAUUUUCAGUUGUGGGAGGUUUGUGGUUGUGUGUUUGUUGAAUAUCAUGUGAAGAUUUGCCCA
Mangifera indica (mango) is the source of this 1131-nucleotide long non-coding RNA. RefSeq lists it as uncharacterized. The record is from RefSeq and is a predicted model, not a curated record. The transcript is spliced from 2 exons. Lineage: Eukaryota; Viridiplantae; Streptophyta; Magnoliopsida; Sapindales; Anacardiaceae.